RNAcentral lists this ribosomal RNA (1532 nucleotides) under uncultured bacterium. Its description in RNAcentral is "bacterial SSU rRNA". It matches the Rfam family "Bacterial small subunit ribosomal RNA". The record is from RNAcentral.
AGGAGGGUUUUGAUCAUGGCUCAGAGCGAACGCUGGCGGUACGCCUAACACAUGCAAGUCGAGCGAGAAAGUGACUUCGGUCACGAGUAGAGCGGCGGACGGGUGAGUAAUGCGUGGAUAAUCUACCCUUAAGUCUGGGAUAACUUCGGGAAACUGAAGCUAAUACCGGAUAUGACCACGCCAUUUGCGAAUGAAGUGGUGAAAGGUGGCUAGCUUGCUAGCUAUCACUUAGGGAUGAGUCCACGUCCCAUCAGGUUGUUGGUGAGGUAAAUGCUCACCAAGCCUAAGACGGGUAGCCGACCUUAGCGGGUGAACGGCCACACGGGGACUGAGACACGGCCCCGACUCCUACGGGAGGCAGCAGUGGGGAAUAUUGGGCAAUGGGCGAAAGCCUGACCCAGCGAUACCGCGUGAGGGAUGAAGGCUUUCGAGUUGUAAACCUCUGUCAAGAGGGAAGAUGGGUCUGUAAGCUAAUACCUUACAGACUUGACGGUACCUCUGAAGGAAGCCCCGGCUAACUCCGUGCCAGCAGCCGCGGUAAUACGGAGGGGGCAAGCGUUGCUCGGAAUUACUGGGCGUAAAGGGUCCGCAGGUGGUUUUGUAAGUUAGAUGUGAAAGCUCAGGGCUUAACCCUGAAAUUGCAUCUAAAACUGCUUAACUUGAGUCCAGGAGAGGUUGGCGGAAUUCCCGGUGUAGCGGUGAGAUGCGUAGAUAUCGGGAGGAACACCAAUGGCGAAGGCAGCCAACUGGCCUGGUACUGACACUCAGGGACGAAAGCGUGGGGAGCAAACCGGAUUAGAUACCCGGGUAGUCCACGCCCUAAACGAUGGAUGCUAGGUGUAGGGAUUUUUAUUUCUGUGCCGUAGUUAACGCAUUAAGCAUCCCGCCUGGGGAGUACGGUCGCAAGGCUGAAACUCAAAGGAAUUGGCGGGGGCCCGCACAAGCGGUGGAGCAUGUGGUUUAAUUCGAUGCAAAGCGAAGAACCUUACCAGGGUUUGACAUGUUACUUAAAUCCUAUGUGAAAAUAUAGGGAAUGUUUUAAGCUUGCUUAAAAUAGUUAACACAGGUGCUGCAUGGCUGUCGUCAGCUAGUGCCGUGAGGUGUCCGGUUAAGUCCGGUAACGAGCGCAACCCUUAUCUUUAGUUGCCAGCGCUUAGGGCGGGAACUCUAAAGAGACUGCCGGCGACAAGCCGGAGGAAGGUGGGGACGACGUCAAGUCAUCAUGGCCCUUACGUCCUGGGCUACACACAUGCUACAAUGGCUAGUACAAUGGGCUGCGAAUUCGUAAGGAGAAGCUAAUCCCAUCAAAGCUAGCCUAAGUUCGGAUUGUAGGCUGCAACUCGCCUACAUGAAGUUGGAAUCGCUAGUAAUCGCGGAUCAGCAACGCCGCGGUGAAUACGUUCCCGGGCCUUGCACACACCGCCCGUCACACCACGAAAGUUGGUUCUACCCGAAGUGGCUGUGCUAACCUUCGGGAGGCAGGUCCCUAAGGUAGGGCUGGUGAUUGGGGUGAAGUCGUAACCAAGGUAGCC